CAAUAGCGUAUAUUAAAGUUGUUGCGGUAAAAAAGCUCGUAGUUGGAUUUCUACCGAAGAUAGCCGGUCGGGUCUUCGACCUUGUAUCUGGUUUUGUCUUUGGUAUCCUCAUAGGGAACGUUUCUGCGCUUUAUUGCGUGGUGCGGUAUCUAUGACUUUUACUUUGAGGAAAUUAGAGUGUUCACGGCAGGCAAACGCCUUGAAUAUAUUAGCAUGGAAUAAUAACAUAGGACCUUCGUCCUAUUUUGUUGGUUUCUAGGGCUAAGAUAAUGAUUAAUAGGGAUAAUUGGGGGCAUCUGUAUCAACGCGUCAGAGGUGGAAUUCUUGGAUUGCGUUGCGACAAACUACUGCGAAAGCAUUUGCCAAGGAUGUUUUCAUUGA
RNAcentral lists this ribosomal RNA (381 nucleotides) under uncultured eukaryote. RNAcentral's name for it is "partial 18S ribosomal RNA". It matches the Rfam family "Eukaryotic small subunit ribosomal RNA", at positions 592 to 976 of the family's 1831-position model. The record is from RNAcentral.